CUUGUGACAAUACAUCAGAAGGAGGAUCAUCUACUUCCAGACCAGACUACAGUGGACCAUGGAUAACUAAAACCACAGAAAGAGAAACCACAGAUGAGGAGGAACAACUACAGUAUUUUACUUAACCAGAAAGGUUCUCUCCAGGAAAAAGCAGAUGUCCCAGCAGACCUCGCCAAUCAAGGCAUUCCUACUGUGGCCACAAAGUCUGAUUCAGGGAUAAACACGUGUUCCAAGAAGGCAAAAAGACCAGUUCAGGAACUUCUGUUAGAUUGCUUGGGAAGAAAAACAAGAUUUCUGCUGGAUUUGAAGAUUAACAAGAGAAUGUGAGCCAGGAGCUAAUGGGCCUAUAGAGUAGAAAAAGCCCGCCUAAUCAUGAAGCCAAUAAAGAGGAAAACAGAAUUACCUGAUGGUAAGAAAGUCCUUCUAACAUCAUUCGAAGCUUUGGCUUAGUUGUCCAUAACAGAAAUCUACACCACCACUCCCGGCUUUUUUUUUCCUUACUUAAGUCAAUUUGGGCUGAGUGAUAAAAAGUCUUGCUUACAGAAAAAAAGUAUUACAGGGAAAUCAAAUAUCAUACCCAAUGGUGAAAAGUCAAAACUGACAACUUAUUUACUGUUUGCGAAUGAAGCUCUUUUUUGGGGAGGCAGAC
This 649-nucleotide long non-coding RNA is filed under the name Mustela putorius furo (domestic ferret). RNAcentral's name for it is "lncRNA (ENSMPUG00000026518.1)". Lineage: Eukaryota; Metazoa; Chordata; Mammalia; Carnivora; Mustelidae. The record is from RNAcentral.